GGGUGCGAUCAUACAAGCAAUAAGCCAAUCAUGUAUUAGAUCCCAUCAGAAUUCCGAAGUUUUGCUUGAGUGAGAGUAGUAAUAGGAUGGGUGACCUCCUAGAAAGCUCUCGCAUUACAGUCC
Molecule: ribosomal RNA, 123 nt
Filed under: Rosa chinensis
Lineage: Eukaryota; Viridiplantae; Streptophyta; Magnoliopsida; Rosales; Rosaceae
Also listed under: 1 other name
Source: RNAcentral